Long non-coding RNA from Saccostrea cuccullata (small rock oyster), 522 nucleotides. RefSeq lists it as uncharacterized. The record is from RefSeq and is a predicted model, not a curated record. Lineage: Eukaryota; Metazoa; Mollusca; Bivalvia; Ostreida; Ostreidae. The transcript is spliced from 2 exons.
UGGUUAUUAGACGAUAAAUUCUCACCAAUUUUGUAUAAAUGCCUAAGCGUACAUAAAUAUAUCUUAUAAUAUGGUUUCUUUAACAUUAAGCAAAAUGCAGAUUUAGAAAAAGUAAGGACAAAGUCACAAGAAGGGUCAUGCAUGGUCAAACAUUAUUGAUGCAGUUGAAUAGUUCUCAGAAAUAUGUAUCAGUAUAUUAAGUUGGAUAAAAAUAUUAUUCAUGAUUUCCUUAAAACUGAGCUAAACACUAAUUUAAGAAAAGUGAGGUCAAGGUAAAAAAAAUGUUGAUGCAGUUGAACAGCUUACAACAGUAUUUAUUAGCAUAUGAUGUACAUAAACAAGAGAUGUUUGUAAAACACUUAUGCCCCCCUCCCCCCAAAUUGGAUUUUUUCUAAGUCCAAAAGGGCACAACUUUGACAAAAAGGGUGCGAUCGUACCCAAAACAGAACUUGACCUAGAUAUUCAGCUGAAAAAUCUGUAUACUAAAUUUCAUUUCAAUAUGUGCAACCUCUGCAAAGAAAA